Cygnus atratus (black swan) is the source of this 11750-nucleotide long non-coding RNA. RefSeq lists it as uncharacterized. Lineage: Eukaryota; Metazoa; Chordata; Aves; Anseriformes; Anatidae. The record is from RefSeq and is a predicted model, not a curated record. The transcript is spliced from 12 exons.
CAACGCAAGCACAAAAGGCAGCCUUAUGUUUAAUUAUGUUUAAGGCUCUAGAUCAUGUCUGUGUUCAGGCAGAGGCUGGCUGUAGCCUGCGUGCUGACUUCUUUCAUUCCCUAUGGCAUCCUUGUCUGCAGCCCGGUAGCUUGCUGGGGAAUGAAUCAGUGGGGAGAAGAGCUGUAAUUGAUUACAGCAGACAACUUUUACCCAGUGCAAGACAGAAGAGCUCCUCUGACUCCUUUGGAGCUAUGCUGACUCAUAGCAGAAAGAGACCUCCCUCUCUAGUUUCUUCGGACUGUCUCCUGGACUCACUUGUUUUUCAUAUAGUGGUGGGUUUUGCUACAUGGACUGCAAGUCGAGAGCUGCUUUCAUCUGACAUCUCUACUUUGCACUCCUCCUGGAGGAGGCCACUGGCACAGGCCCCUCUCCUUGAAGAGGUUAAGAAAAUGGCUGUAUUGGCUUCGUUGCAGGAUGGAGCUGGUAGGAAAUUGAGUGGUGUGCAGUGCCAAACCCAUGAUGUGUGUGCUCUUUCCAUUGGGAACACUGAGUCAUAAAAGGAAAUAAAAGCUGUUACAUUUCUGCGUGAUGAAGAAAACGGGCUCUAGUCUAGCCUCAUAUGAAUUCAUACGAUUUCUGUCCAGUGAACACUUUCCCUAUUAUAGGUUAUGAAACCUGGCUCCCCUUGGUAGAAAUUCAAUUUAUUUCAGCCAAAAAGAAUCGGGCGUCACCUCGGAUGGGCCUUCUCCUUCCUCACCCCACAGUCAGGGCCAAAUGCUAGUCUUGUGACUUUCUAAAUACAACUUGUGCUCCUUAUUUGCUGUUAUUUUAAUUUAGCUGAGAAGAGCUUGGCAACAUCUCUGGCUGUGUUGCCAGCUGGUUGUGUUGUUGGCCAGUUUUCCAAGGUAUGUUUGGUAGAAAGUAGAGAAGGAAGUGCUUCUAGUAGCCAUGGUUCUCGAUUCUAAUUCCAGUUUCAGGUGCAGAGCAAGAGUGUAAGAUAUCACCAGGAGAAGCAGUAUCAAAUACUUUGAGGCAAGGAGUCUUAGGAGACCAUAUGAGCAUUCUCACUUCCUACUCACUUCCUACACCCCAGCAUACAGUGCAGUAGGUAAGUGCCAGGUUUUAUUGCCUGACCAGUUACAAAGAGGUGGUGAUCAGAUGCCAUUUUCUUCAUAUGUAGGCAAAGCUUAGGCAAAAAAAAAAAUGAUUUCUGACUAUUGUGGUUAUGAACUGGUGCAUAGUUGAGUUUGUUGUCCACAGACUGCUAUGGUAACUGAGACUUCUGCAGCUGCUUCUUUAUGUUGCCUCAGAUGUGAAUAAAUGCAUAAUGUAAACUGUGACAGAGCUCCAACUGUCUUUGGUAGAAGCAGCAUAAGUGUAAAGGGGAACAGACCAUCCAGCAAGAACAAAUGGGCGAUGUUUUGCUUUGUUAGUGCUCAGAUGUAGCUGAAGAAAUUGCUGCUGCUCAUACAUGCUAUAACAGUUGGUAAUUGUGUGUUUUCUCCUGUGUCUUAGCUGAAUCUUGUUAUGUUCUGUGUAAUCUGGGCACAGUUGCUCAGCUACUGUGGCUUUGCUGGUGAGAGGCUAAGUUCUUGGGGUAGGGUCACUUGGUUGUUCAGAGGCUGAAUAACAGGAUCUCCAGGGUGAGGCCAUUUUGAGGUGGCAAUGUGACCGACCUAUACAGCAGCCAGCUAGCUGGAAAGCUUGGAGCCCAGCUACUGUCGGAAGGCUUCAUGUUAAGAAGCAGCCAGCUGCAUGACUGAAGAUAAGCUCUGGAGCCUGGGUGGGAGUGCUGUGCUCUGGCCACUGGCUCACAGAUGGAUGUUACCUUUGUGCAGUUGCACUCUGCUUUUAUUAGCCAGGUGACAUGGACAUCGGGCAUGGCAAACUGCUUGCUUCCUUGUCUGAGCGAAUCCAAAGGGUUGGUGGCAGUCAGGUGCUUUCUUCUUAUUGUGCUGCAGGUUCACAUCACCAGUAAUGACUGCCAGCGUGCAGUCUGGGUCCAAGCAAUUCCAAGCAAUUCUUCCAAGCAAUGCGAUUCUUCCAAACAAUGUCUCCUGUGGUGUGUGCUUAGGGGAGCUCUGCUGUUCUGCUCUCCAGGGAUGUACGAGCAAGGUUAGACACUUGGUAACAAUUGGAUUUCUCUCCAAUGUCCUGCUGGGCAACUAAAUUCCCUUCUAGCUACCUUACAUUGUGUUAGUGAAACCUUUUGGUUUUUUUGAUUGGACUCAUUUUAAAUGGUUGAUUUUUUUUUUGUGUGCACUGCGAAUGCACCCUUGCUGUUCAGUUCAGCGUUCUGAAUAAAAUGCUGAAGCUAUCAGUGCAUGUGAAUUUCUGGAUGCAGGGUGGCUUCCUGCCCACAAUGGGAACAGAAUUUAGAGCCAGGAACUCUGAGUUAGUCCCUUUCUUGUUAGGGGAGUGCACUGUGGCCUCUGGCAUAGCAGUGCUGUUCCCUAACUCUGCUUCUCUGCCAGGCAACUGGAGGUAAUUAUGAUACCUACCAUUUGCAGGAACGUGGACGAUUACUUGAGAUGCAUGCAGCUUCUUUCAAAAUGUAAAACGACACAUCUGAGUAUUGUUUUGUUAUAUUUAUUGAGUAAUUUGGGGUUGUUGGAUGAAAGACCUUAUAUAAAUGGUACUUUAUUAUUAUUGCUAGAGAGGGACUAGUACAAAAGCAGUUUAUCUGGGAAUCCAUGAAACAAAGGUCUAGAGCAUACUGCCAACAUCUGCUACCACUUAGAACUUCAACCCACUUACAGUGUGAGCUACUCGAGCUUGGAGAUGCACAGCGAGGAGUUGUUUUGCGAUUGCUGAGUUGCAGCAGUCCUUUGGUCAGGCGCUUGUAUGUUAGAUAAAUUCUCUACACCCUGCCCUGAGGGAAAUACUUUGUCCUGGUAGGACCAUGACAGGGAUCUCGUGAUAUUUGUAUCACAAGUCUGCUGUAAGCAUUGCUGUUUCCCUCCUCACAGAGUUGAACAGAAACGUGCGCUGAUGUUUUUUGUUUGUGACCUCAAGUGUCCUCCCUAACAUGAGCAGGACUGUGCUGUAGAGCCCAGUGCAAAGUUUUCCAAGGCAGGUAAUGAAGCUUUCUGUUGGCUUGAAGCCCUAACAGCUUCAAACUGUUGGGUUUCAGCAAGUGGAAAAAUCCAUUAGUGUGUUGUUUGGCUCUGUGUGCUCCAGCUGCUUGGCUUCUGGAGUGGUGGGAAGGUAAGCAGAAGCUCACCCCUUGGCCUGAAGAGAAACGGUAACCUUGAACUACCCAUCUACUGUGAGGUGUCUGCCCAGUGCCUUCUGAAACCUUCUGUCCCUAAAGUUGGUUGCUGAUUACUGUGGCAGUCUCUUUGGGCCCAUUUCCUAGCAAUUUGGUCGAUCCUAUAAUGAGUUCACUGACAGGCUUGCUUGCUUCUAGCUCUUUCUGCAGUGUGGGAGCAGGUAGGGCAAAGGGCUUUAUUUUAAUGCUGCUAUUUCUGUACAUAUUGUUGGCCAAUAAACCAUCACCAGCUUGUGUGAGCGAAGCUGUUGGUCAUGAGGAGCAGACUGUAAAUGAGUGGUGGAAAGGUUUUGUAUGGUGACUGAACUAAAAUAUUUUACCCCAGAGAACCAUUCAGAUUCAUCUGCCGUAUCUUCCAGCAGCACUUGUAAAGGCCAAAAGAAGCUGGAAAAGAGGGAAUGCAAACAAACAUUGGAGUGUGACCCUGGUUGGAUAGUGACUUUGUUCUUUAUGUUGGGAAGCUCUCUGCUAUCAGCCUGCUUCAGGAUGGCUGGCAAAACAUCUCAUGUUCCCUGUACACACAAGCCCUUCACUGUAUUGAGCAUGGGACAAGAGAUCUUCAAAGAGGAGAAAUACAUCCUUUACUAUGAGAUAGGAAGCAACCUGGGAUGUCUUCCAAGGAUCCGUGCCUGAAACUGAAGCCAGCUGAUGACUGGAGGAGAGUUCCUAGUCUCUUGAAAUUCCCCUUCAAACCCCACCCCUCGGCUUGGGGGGUUGCUGGACUGUAACAGGCUGCUCAUCUGUCUGCAUGAGGGGACUCACUGCCUUGGGAUUAAAGCUGGGAAGUGCUUUUGGAAAAACAGAAGAUGUGCUGGAUGAGAAUAGUGUCUCUGGCCUGGCAGGUUCACACAGUUUUUUUUCCAUUAAGAGGAAAAUUGAUUAUAUUAUUUGGAGAGAGGUAUUCCUUUGAGGGGGAGAUCAUAAUUUACUUACAAAACAUGCACGCAAUGUCCUGUUGCUAUGAUCUCAAGAGAAACAAACAAGUUUCCUAUUCAGUGAGCAGUGCCCCAAAAGCUCUGUCUUCCUUCUUAUGCUGGCAUGCAUCCCACUUGAGGCUUUCUCCUUUCCUUAGGUACCCAAAAGACAAGUUGCCUUGCCUUUAUCUAGCUCUCUGAUUAUCUGUGGAUCUCAGAAUCAGACGUUACCACUUUCCAGAGCAAUUGUGCAUUUAUAAUAUCAUGUUAGGUUGAAGACAGCCCUGGAGUAAAGCAUUUGCGCUGACCUUCCUGUUACUUUUGACUCUUUGGACUAUGAAUAGAUCUUUUCACCAGCUGGUAGAUUCUUCACCCCUUGUGGACUUCAGAAUAAUAUCAAAAGGCAGUCAAGGUAGAGGAUAAUCGGAUUAAAAAUAGGUUUUGGUGAGAUAAUGUGAUGGUUCCCUGUGGCCUUAGUCUCUGAGCUUAUAACUGAAGGACAUGCAGUGCCUAGUGUCAAGGUUGUAGUGGGAAGUAGCUAAAUGUGGAGGACAAGAAGAAGGUAGCACUAAACUGCAAGAGACACUGUGCUAUAGCAGGGUGGGAUAAUCUGGCCCACGUGGGACCACAUGUGCUACCCCCAGUGUAUCAGAGCACCAUUAUUACACGAAUAGUGGUCAAUGAAAUAACUGCAUGAGCUGGACCAUGCUCAUUCAUCUCAGCUCUCUUCUGAGCGCUGAUAAUGGUGAGAAAUUCUGGGCCGACCACACCUCCCCGGGGAUUUCUCGGCUGCUUGUGUAAUCCCUGAUUUGCUGGACCGGAUGAUCUCCACCAGUGUGGGGCCUCCCCUUCCAAGGGUAGCUGCUGUUUGCUCUAGGAUUUCCCGGCAUGUUCAGGCAGCAGUGAGUCUGUUGCUUUCCUGGAAGGCUCAGACCUCUUGUGGAUGCACGAAGUGGUUGAGUGGCACACCAGCAGCCCUCUGAGAGAGCUGAAUUUCACUGUCAAUAGUCACUGCACAGGUCUGUCGGAUGCUUCCUGAAAUUUGGCUAAUGGAGAAGAUCUUAAAUGCCUUCUGGAUUCAGUCUCUGGGCAGGAUGGAAGCACAAAUCCAAAUAUACUCAGUGGGAUUUAAAGAGAUAUAGGUUACCACUAAUUUAUAUCUUGUGGUGUAACCUGGCCCUGCCUGAGUUUCAAUAGGAAAAAUUUUGCUUUGCAAUCCGAGUUAUAUUCAUAUCUAUUUCUGUCAAACCAAGUGGGAAAACCCUUGGGUCCAACUCAACGGGUUGAGAGAGAAAUGACUCAGUCACCAAGCUUGGAGUCCCAGAUGAGUCUGUUGCCUUGCCCCACUGAAUGCGGUAUUUGACAAAAAGAUUGAUUUCUGCUGACUUACUGGGAAUUUUUGUUCCAUGUUGCAAAAUCAUGUCUUGAUGGCUUCUGUUCUCCACUGUGCCCUGUCCUAUGAGCUAGACCUUCAGUGCUCUCAAAGCAUGAUGAGGAAUGGACGGUUUCUAACCUGGUUAUGUGGCCUCUGUCUCUUCAUCACCAGGUUUCAUGGGAUAUCUUUGCAAGCAUCUUGUCUCUUAUGUAUACCCCACAAUGAAGGGGUCAAGACUUUUAUAAAUCCUUAGCAGCUGUGAUAUGUAAGAUGUUUUUUUCAAAAGCACUUACCCUAUGAUGAACACCACUUCUCCUGAAACCAGUGGUGAAUUAUCUUGAUUUCUGUGGGUUAGGGUUAGAGCAACAAUAGGAUUUUCAUAAAAUCCCACAGGUUCAGCCAAGAUUUCAGCAUUUACCAUCCUGAAUUCUCUUUAAAGACAAAGAAAAUCUCAAGAGACCUUAAAUGAAGCAUUUCCUCCAUUCAUUUCAGCCCACAACAUGGGAGGAGAGUGCACUCAUGAACUUGCUUUAAUAUUCAGCCUAAGAUUAUCAUGUAAAAGAGAGAACCUGAACAAAAGUUGAUGAACUUCCAGAAAUGUGAACAUGUCAUCUUAAGUUAAAUGAAACUUAUCCAUGAAGUAUCAGGGCUUCUUGUGACUAGUCUCUACCCUAAACUAGUGAUAGUGACAUUAGUCUUAGGGGAAACAGAUUUCUGCUAAAAAUUACCACCAGUAACAAUCCUAACCCCCAAAUCCAUGUUAUUAGGCUACACAGUUAAAACCUCACUAAAAUGAAGUGGCUAGGUUAUAUUUCUCAUGUUUUUUAUUAUUCAUGAUUUUUUAUUUCUCUCUCAUCGGGAGAUCAGGGUUUUCAAGUUGUGUGUGUGUUCUGUAUGUGACACUAUAUGAGACUCACUCUCAUAUUCCCUGAAUGGACAGAUAAUUGGCUUGGGGAAUGACAGCCACUGGGUAUGAUGCUAUCUCACCUCCUUUGCUGCUUGCUAGCCCAGAGGACCAUUAGGUACAUUUGACUGGGCUCAGCUCUUGGAGAAAGACAAUUUCCAUUUCACUGCUCCUUGGGCCUGACCCUUGAAUCCCAACUGGAAAGAGUUUGUCCCUCAAAAAGAAAUAUUAUAGCUUUUUCCUGCAGCUGAUUAAAACAGUUCAGUGUCCUCAACAUCACCUGUCUUGGCAAAACACUGCAGCUUGAUUGAAGCCUCCACUGAAGCCAGCUUUUAAGCUCUCCAUCUCCUGGAAGUACCACUGUAAGGACUGCAGCUGUCAGAGCAGGCAGACUAGAGCUGCAGCUCCAUGUCUGUGCGUAGCAUGUUUUCCUAGCUCUGUACGUCUGUGUGGUAAAAAGUGAUGUUUAAUAUCUAUGGGAAAUACUAAGGAUUUCUUUGUCAUCUGCUUUGGAGCCUCCUUCAGCUGCAACUGAGGAGACAGGAAGAAUUUGGCUGCUGUUCUCUGCUCCUGCACCACCCAGCCCAUACUGACAGCUACAGCAACUCAGUGACUACUGUAUUUUUCGUGGCCCUUCUGGCAGGAAGAGAUGAGAGGGAAUGCAGCUACUUCAAUACCCCCUUGUUCCAGGCAUGUCUGUCUUUCCCCAACAGCCCCCUUGGUGGUGCAUAGCUGUUGCAGAAGCUGGCUUCGUAUGAAAGAGGGAAAGUAAAACCUAUUUAUAGACAGCCGGAGCGGCACAUUAUUUAAGGGUCACAGUUGAAAUUAACCAUGAGGUAUUUAACACUGAAGUGGACAGAGCAAGUACUUGAAAACUGUUGGACUGAAUGUCUCUUUCCAAAGAGAAACACGCACGACUUGCUUGGUGUAAGGUCACGCUCAUCACCAAGGUCCUUGGUUCCUUCAUACAGCUGGGAUGAUGAAACCAAGGCCAAGGCUGCAGGCAUCCCGCUGCGAUGUAACAGAGGGGAGAUACCACGGGCAGGAAAACCUCGUCUUGGAGAAAGGAGCUGGCUUUACAGAGGCAGGUGGCCCUAGGAAUUCAGGGGGCUGCUGGAAGCUGGCAGAGGCUGCUCCACAGAGGAGAGGAGAUGGAGGGGGGAUUGAGGAAUGGAGAGAGGAAUUAUUUUCCAAAGUUUGUGUGGAGACGAAGCUGUGAGUGCUGCUCCCUGGACUCCCACACCAUAGCACCAGGACCCCCAGCAGUUUCAGAUUGGUGCCAGCAAUAUUCACAUCUCCCAUAGCUGAUAAGGACAGCUGCAUGCAGGGGAAGCCAUCUGUACCGAACAGCAAUGACCUGUCCCAUUUCCCUGUAAUACACCACGUUGGGGGACUCGUUUGCUGCUGCUGUUACAGAGGCUUUGCCCAGACCUUCAUUUCUCCAGAAGUUUCUUUCUCCCAAAAGUUCCUUGACAGUGCCUGACCACCCGAUGUCUCAGCUUGCUUGAGGAGUUGGACAAAGCUCAUCUCUUUUAGGACAUAUCAGGAGGGACACAGGCCAUGACUAAACUUUUCUGGUUCUGGUGCCAGCACAAUCAUGUGAGAGGUUCAGAGGCUGAAGAAAAUGCUUCGGAAUCGCAUCUGAAAAAGGAGAUUUUGCAGCUUUUUGUACAUCGGGUUGCAGAUGAAGAGGAGGCAGAAGUCAGACAACGGCGAUUCCUCCUCAGCAAGGCACAAACAACAUCAAGCAUUUUCCAGCCUGGUGCAUCUCUGGUAGCAGCCAGAAGGGCUUGGCUCCAGUGGAGCUCAGAGCUGCAGGAAGCUCCCCAGCUUUGAGGAAAAAAAAAAAAAAAAGAAAAAAGGGCAAAUGGGGCUGGUCCUCUGGCCUUGCAACGGGCAGGAUGUUCCUGUGCAUGGGUCCGUGAUGGCAGCCCCCACCUCACCUGUCCCAGGCUUGUGAGACUGGAAGUAUUUGGCCAAAAUGAAAAACCGUGCAAAGAGACAUCAGGACCUUUGAGACAAAAUGGAAAUGUGCCGCUUGUUUUUGGAGCAGAGGCCGAACACAGGGGACAUCCCAAUGCAAAAGGGUGCAAAAUACUCCAGGAAAAGCCCCCCCCAUGUCAUCCCAAGGUGCUGGGGGUGCUUUGGUGCAAAUAUAAUGACUGAUGGAGCCUUAUUUGUGCUCCGUGCUCUCCGGAGCCUCCCCUUGGCACUCAACAGGAGCUGCUGCAGAACGCAGCUCGGGCACCGUGGCCUCGAUUCCCCAGCUCCUCCAAGCCCACCGAGGGCUGCUGUCGGCAUUCCCAGGGCUUCCCAGCUGGGAAAUAGCAGCCAUCUCCGCGGAGAGCCUGAUGUCACAAGAUUUUUCAGCCUGAUUUCCAGAGCAGCGGUCUGGAUGCACUUCAAACCUCUGACUGCUUUUUCCAACCAGCGUUGUUGCUUGGGAUUUUUGGGGGAUUUUUUUUUUUUUUUUUCCGGGCUCUCCCUUCUCCAGGUCUCAGCCUGUGAGCGUAGCUGCUGAUUGAGCAAUCGGCGUCUGUUCCUUAGACACGUCGCCAUGGAAAUUCCUGAGAUUGCUGGUGGGGACCGACACAAAAUUAGCCUGGGCUGGGGAGGAGGAAGAGGAGGAGGAGGUUGAGGAGGAGUAGGAGGCAGCCGCUUGGGAGAUGGGUUUGCUGCAGGAGCAAAUCCUUUCUGCUCGUCCUCUCCAGGAGCAGCCACUUCCAGGCGCUGGCUGUCAAGAAGAUUUGCAAGGGGCUGUUCUUCUCCCCUCUCCUUUUUACGUGACCACCGGCACCAGCCGGCCCCGCAGAGGAACACAGCUUGCGCGGGGCUGACCAGGACACAGCGCGCUCUUUUGCAAUCAGCUUGGCUCUGGAUUGCAAGCAAAAAUGCCUUUUUUUUUUUUUUCCCCCCCAAAAAAAAUUAAAAAAGGAGCUGUUCCAGUGGCUGCCUGUCACAAUGGGAAGAGGGGUGGGAAUGAGGUGCCGUUCUCAGUGUGCUUCUUCCUAACCCAAUGAUGCUGAAAUUCUUCCCUCCCGCUUUCAGGAUGAAGCCAUGCCAGGCACUCGGGGGCUCAUUUCGCUCUCCCCAGCAGCAGAUGCUUUUGUGCUUGGCGGCUGAACCCAAAAAUCCACCUUGGCCUGCUGGGAAGUGGGAAGAAAGAGGCUGUUUGGUGAGGACGCCCUGACUUGUCCUGCUUCAGGGAGCAUCCUCCCUUGGGAAACGCUCGCUGGGAGAAUUAGCACGGGUUUCAUUUUUUUCCUCUACCAUGAGUUGCACUUCGUCGAUGUUACACCACUGCGGAGCGAGAUGUAGCUCCUCUAUGGUCCACUGAAGGGUUUUUUUGAGUUAAUACCUGCAUUUUUCGGUUCCCCUUUGGGCUAUAUGCUGCUUUUAGGCCCAUAUGGAUGCCUACAACCUGCUCUGCAUCUGGGUUUUCAGGUGGAAAGAAGGGGUGCUCCUAAGGGAGCACCCUGACGGCCACAAAAAAAACACGGAAAGCAAUAAAAGCAUAUGGGGAGCUGGGUCUGCACAUCCUCAGGGGCUUUUCCAAGCUCGUUUUUCACUUCCAGCAGUUUUGGAAGUAAGAAAAUAAGGCAGCGAGCAUGGCACCGCCACGGGUUAGUGGGGAACAUCAGGCUCACUGCAGUGAACCUGAUCAGUUCUCCCUGUCUGCAGAAUUAAUCACUGCUGGAAAGCUGGACAAAUAUUUUCAAAAUAACAAAAAGCUGCCUUCCUGCCUAACAACCUUUUUCAGGCCUUUCAGAUUUCUACAUCCACUUCAGUUCAUUGACCAUGCUCAAAAUCUUCAGGUUCUGUACAUCGGCUAUGUAAUAUACAUUAAUUACAUACAAAUUAAAUGAUUCCUGCCUUGUUUUCAAGCGUGAUAACGCCUUUGGCCUUUGCCUUUCUACAGUGGAGCCCUUCACAUCUUGGACAAGGACCCCAGCAGCACACUGGGGUGAUUUCACCUCACAAGCCUUUGGGAUAGAAAGGGGAUUUUGGGGUUUUCCUGCAUUUUUCCCUGCUGGAGAAGGGAGUUGCAGCUCACCCAAGGGUGCGGGUGGCCUCUGGGAGCCAGGCGUGAGCUCUGGCAUCUUCCACCUGCUGAAGCAGGUUUGGAGGUUGUUUUUUUGGGCAGGUUUGAGAGCUGGGUGCUAUUCCCAGGUACUUCCCUGACCAAGAACUGAGCUAGGAGGGUGCACACCUCUGGCACAGACCACUUGAGUUGGUGUGGUCCCCCUUUGGCUCACCCAUCCCAAAAGCUUUUCAGCACGGGUGUCCCAAAAUCUCCCCUUCCCUGGGAUGGUGAAACACCCAAGCCUUGUUUAAAAACAUAGGUGGCAUCCCCAAAGCUUCAGUCCCUCCAUCUGCCCUUCCAGCCCCUCUUUCCAGGAGGCCAAAGGGGUGACCAUGUGUGAGGCUUCAGACCCAAAUCCUCAGGGUUACAUCUCUGUGACAGCGGGAUUUUGCAGAGCAAGGCGGUGAGGUCACGGCAGCCGGCCGUGCUUUUAUUUCAGCGGGGUCUCUAUAGCAGCCAGCGACAAAACAAAACAUAUAUUCCUCCAAAGCAGAGUUUCCUGGCUGGUGGCGCUCAUUUUUCUUUAUGAGCUGACUUUGGAAGAGAGCGGAGUGGCAGCUCAUGGAAACUGGGAUGUCUUUCUCUCCCCUGUCUGCUCCUCCGUCCCGGCAGAUAAAGGUUAGACAUCUGUUUCGGAUCUGCUUUAACCGAAGGACAGACCCGCUCCUGCCAUCCCAUAAAUCAUCCAGAGUGCAGGCCUUGCUAAUUGCUGGGGCUCUUUGUCCCAAGAUGUCCAGCGUAGCCGUGGGCAGGCAGGCAGUGCCCAGCCUGCUGCCUCCUGCCUUUCCCUAGCAGUCCCUGAAUGCUCUGAAGCUGGACAUCACCCACACGGGUGAGGGACUGGGGACUCCCACGUGCCCAAAUCUCACUUGGGUACAGCCCCAAUUUUCAGGAGCACCCUGGGUGAAAAGACACACCUUUCCCUAAAACCUUGACCUCAGAAUUAUGCUUACAGCAUAAGGCAUUGCUUCAAGCGUGGCAUUCCUGGAAAACCCACGGAGAUAUGUAUCUGUACAUUUAGGUUAUUUUAGAUUGGCUUCUUGUACCGAUGCAAUAAACUUAAUACCGGCUAAUAAAACAUUUCAGAGCCACUUUGCCUCCCCUUGUAAAGGUUUCCCAAGAUGGAGAUAAUUAAAUGCAAAACUACGGCAUUAAGAAAACCCAACCAAGCACUCGAAAGCUGGUGCUUUCCCACAUUUAAGGGUCUGGCU